ACCUGGCUGGCUCCCUUGGUAGAGCAUGCAACUCUUGACCUCAGGGUUGUGGGUUCAAGCCCCACGUUGGGUA
Non-coding RNA from Ailuropoda melanoleuca (giant panda), 73 nucleotides. NCBI's taxonomy places the organism in Eukaryota, Metazoa, Chordata, Mammalia, Carnivora, Ursidae. The record is from Rfam.